Molecule: long non-coding RNA, 2410 nt
Organism: Numida meleagris (helmeted guineafowl)
Lineage: Eukaryota; Metazoa; Chordata; Aves; Galliformes; Numididae
Exons: 2
Source: RefSeq, a predicted model, not a curated record
CUCCACCAUUCCCUGAGCAUUAUGUGCCAAUGCCUGCCCACAGGAUGCAGAGAGACAAUUCCAUCUGCCAUCAUUUCCAAGACCAGACCACAGGGAACAGUGAGAGUGAUAGCCCUGGACAUUUGCUGUGCUGCUCAUCUCCUGUCCAACCUCCACCCAUCCUGUAGGUCUGAAGCCACCAAGGUAAAACCCAGCUUGGCAUUUCUGGGAGGCUGGUGCUAUGGUGAUACCUUCAGCCACAGGAGAGAGGACUCUGUACAGCCCCUUCUUCCUUAUCCCCCAUCCUUAUUCCCUGGGACAUUAUGCCCCAUUCUUAGAGGUGCUCAAGGCCAGGUAAAAAAAAAAAAAAAAGGCUCAGUUCUCUCCUCACUCUGAGCCUGACCAUUCUCCAAGGCUCAUUGCUCCUCCUGUGAAAUAAAGAUCAGGAACGUUUGGAGCAGACUCCUUGUAGAGUACUGCAACAAUGCCUGGUACUGCAGUCAUUAAGUGUCACUACAAUCUUCUAAAGAACAGAGAAUGUACAGGACAUGGUGAGAAGUACAACAUAUCCCCAGUGCAAAAAAGCACACACACAGAUAAUGGGUAAAGAAAGGCAGCUCCAAAGAAUCAUAGAAAAUCCCGAGUUGGAAUGGACCCACAAGAACCACUGAGCCCAACUCUUGGCUCUGCACAGGACCCCCAGAUCUCUUUCCAUGGAGCUGCUCCCCAGCUUCUUUCCUCCCAGUCUGUACAAAUAGCCAGGGCUGCCCCAUCCCAAUUUCAGAAUCCACCACUUCUUGUUAAACUUCAUGCAGUUGGUGAUUGCUCUGAUAGAGCCUCCUAAGAAACAGCAAUCCUAUCAAGCAGCAGUAGCCUAUACAUCAAGAAGAUGUCCAGGCAGGAGGAGAUGCAGCUGAGGCAACGCUCUGUGCCAAAUGCCCAGCAGCCCUCCUGCCACGUCCCUAAAUGCCUGGCCAUCUGCUUCCUGGCCAUCUCUCACACGUCCUGCAGGGGCUUGCCAGGAGAGUUGUCUGGUCUUGUGUGAAGGAGGGCUCUUCCCACCUUCCCAUUUCCCUGCUGGAGAACUGUCUGGGUCUCUGGCCUCACUUCCUGGGUUGGUCUGAUGGAGGUUCCUCUGCCCCCACCAAAGGCAACACAUCUCCCACAUGGGAGGCAAUUAGCGUGACAGUGGGCUUCUCAGUGAGUGAGCUCUUCUCCCCUCUUCUGCCCCUAUCAGCAGGUUUUUGCCUGUCAUAUCCAAAGCAUAAUUGGCUGCAGAGUACCAGAGAAUCAUCUGCUUCAGUCCCACGACCAUUUGCCUCUUGGAGAAGCACUAGUACUUCUUUAGGGCUCUGCUGUUUGCGUGUUUUCAUUCCUGAAACAGAUUGCAAUUUGAUCAUCCAAACAACAAACCAUUCCCUCUCCGAUAUUUUCCUGACGAGGAGCAGAGGAGCAGCAGGCACGAGGCAAAGGAUGGUUGUGGCUGAAACCCACCUGAGACUGCAGCAACCAUAUCUGCGGUGGGAAACGCAGAGUGCCAAGGCAGCCACAAGGCCUGCUGCCAUGCUCUAGCCUCAUACUGGGCAUGAAGGUGUCCUGGCUUCUCAAAGAGGAAUCAGCUUUCAGGGCAUCAGCUCUGUAGUAACCCUUGAGCUCUGCCCGGGUGAGUUUGGGCAGUGCUUGUUGGACCAGACACAAAGUUUAUCCAACACUGCAGGCAGAUGUGUUGCUCACCUCUAAAUUCCCAGAAUAAAUAAUUUUCAUCAGAAUUUAGUGUGCUUUUUUAUUUUUCUUCUUCUUUAUUUUUUUUUUUCCCCAGGAAAUAACUGGUUUCUGGUGAAGCUUUUCCACUUUGUCAUAAGAAAAAGGGGUUUUGGAAUCACGAGGCAGCACAUAAUGCCCAUGAAUCAGGAAUUUAUCAUGUUUGUAAAGUUUAUGGAUUUUGCCAUCUCAAGUGGUUUUUGCUUUCAUUUCUCAAUCUGGGAAAUGCUUACACAGUGGAAAGGUAACUUCAAGGUUGGGUUUUCCCCUCACUGUGGGAAAAUCGUCCCUUGUAGUGGAACUGGCUAAAUCUCACCAAAGAAAAACCCACAGUUCUCUGCACUCUGGUAUCCUCAGAGCAGGCCAUCCAAAAUGCGUGGACAGCUCGAUGCCAAAAUUGUAUGCAAUUAUUCUGACUGAGUGAGAACAAUUGCUCUGGCACAAACCCUCCCCAGAACUUUCCCCAGCACUCCCUACCACCCAUGUGGAAAGCCUUUCUGAUACCUGCAGUUGGCUUUUUCAGAUGGUGUGGGGGAGAGAAAUAAAACUCAAACUGUACAGAAACUGAAGUUGUUUAUAACAUCAGCUUAGGCCACAUAAUAUGGAUCUGAUGAACCUUUCACACACAGCUGAUUUAUUAGGUGGAAGCAUGAAUGAGCUGAGGGUUUAG